GACGAACGCUGGCGGCGUGCUUAACACAUGCAAGUCGAACGGUAAGGCUCCAGCUUGCUGGGGUACACGAGUGGCGAACGGGUGAGUAACACGUGGGUGACCUGCCCUGCACUUCGGGAUAAGCCUGGGAAACUGGGUCUAAUACCGGAUAGGACCGCACCGUGAGGGUGUGGUGGAAAGUUUUUUCGGUGUGGGAUGGGCCCGCGGCCUAUCAGCUUGUUGGUGGGGUAAUGGCCUACCAAGGCGGCGACGGGUAGCCGGCCUGAGAGGGUGGACGGCCACAGUGGGACUGAGACACGGCCCAGACUCCUACGGGAGGCAGCAGUGGGGAAUAUUGCACAAUGGGCGGAAGCCUGAUGCAGCGACGCCGCGUGGGGGAUGACGGCCUUCGGGUUGUAAACUCCUUUCACCAUCGACGAAGGGUUUCUGACGGUAGAUGGAAAAGAAGCACCGGCUAACUACGU
RNAcentral lists this ribosomal RNA (464 nucleotides) under uncultured bacterium. Its description in RNAcentral is "partial 16S ribosomal RNA". It matches the Rfam family "Bacterial small subunit ribosomal RNA", at positions 28 to 506 of the family's 1533-position model. The record is from RNAcentral.